UUGGUUUCCUUGUACCGUUGGUCUCAUGACGCUUUGGUAUAAUGUCCCUGGAGCUUGAGAUUGAGCUGGAAUCAUGUAUACUUGUUGUUGUUGUUGUUGUUGCUCCGGUAGAUUCUGUGACGUUGUUGUGUAGAUAUUCCCCUGAAUAUUACUGUUGUUGGUGUUUCCUUGCCAGUAGCCAACCGGAGGUUGUUGAUUCGUCACCGGCGCCGGAUUUUGAGUGUAUGUGGGAGGGAAGUAUCUUCCGGCUUCGUCUUCGGUUUUUCUUCU
This 270-nucleotide long non-coding RNA is filed under the name Arabidopsis thaliana (thale cress). RNAcentral describes it as "long non-coding RNA (ATHA_LNC000358)". Lineage: Eukaryota; Viridiplantae; Streptophyta; Magnoliopsida; Brassicales; Brassicaceae. The record is from RNAcentral.